This 525-nucleotide ribosomal RNA is filed under the name Clavispora lusitaniae. Its description in RNAcentral is "eukaryotic LSU rRNA". It matches the Rfam family "Eukaryotic large subunit ribosomal RNA", at positions 70 to 666 of the family's 3401-position model. The record is from RNAcentral. Lineage: Eukaryota; Fungi; Ascomycota; Pichiomycetes; Serinales; Metschnikowiaceae.
AGGGUAUGCCCAGUACGGCGAGUGAGCGGCAAAAGCUCAAAUUUGAAAUCCUGCGGGAAUUGUAAUUUGAAGGUAUCGUGGUCUGAGUCGGCCGCGCCCAAGUCCAUUGGAACAUGGCGCCUGGGAGGGUGAGAGCCCCGUCCGGCGCACGCCGACUCUUUGCACCGCGGCUCCGACGAGUCGAGUUGUUUGGGAAUGCAGCUCUAAGUGGGUGGUAAAUUCCAUCUAAAGCUAAAUAUUGGCGAGAGACCGAUAGCGAACAAGUACAGUGAUGGAAAGAUGAAAAGCACUUUGAAAAGAGAGUGAAACAGCACGUGAAAUUGUUGAAAGGGAAGGGCUUGCAAGCAGACACGGUUUUACCGGGCCAGCGUCGAAAAGGGGGGAGGAACAAGAACUCGAGAAUGUGGYGYGYACCUUCGGGUGCGCGUGUUAUAGCUCGUGUUGACGCCUCCAUCCCUUUUCGAGGCCUGCGAUUCUAGGACGCUGGCGUAAUGGUUGCAAGCCGCCCGUCUUGAAAACACGGAC